GUCGGGUAUGGUGAUAUGGCGCCCAAAACGUACAUCGGAAUGUUUGUCGGUGCACUGUGUGCGUUGGCAGGCGUGCUGACGAUCGCGCUCCCAGUUCCCGUCAUUGUGAGUAAC
This is a non-coding RNA of Anopheles minimus, 114 nucleotides long. The record is from Rfam. NCBI's taxonomy places the organism in Eukaryota, Metazoa, Arthropoda, Insecta, Diptera, Culicidae.